CAGUCGCCGCGGUAACACGGAGGGAGCUAGCGUUAUUCGGAAUUACUGGGCGUAAAGCGCACGUAGGCGGCUUUGUAAGUUAGAGGUGAAAGCCUGGAGCUCAACUCCAGAAUUGCCUUUAAGACUGCAUCGCUUGAAUCCAGGAGAGGUGAGUGGAAUUCCGAGUGUAGAGGUGAAAUUCGUAGAUAUUCGGAAGAACACCAGUGGCGAAGGCGGCUCACUGGACUGGUAUUGACGCUGAGGUGCGAAAGCGUGGGGAGCAAACAGGAUUAGAUACCCCGGUAGUCCCUGUCUCUUAUAC
Molecule: ribosomal RNA, 301 nt
Filed under: uncultured bacterium
Lineage: Bacteria
Description: partial 16S ribosomal RNA
Rfam family: Bacterial small subunit ribosomal RNA
Source: RNAcentral